CGACCGGCGCACGGGUGAGUAACGCGUAUGUAAUCUGCCUUGUACAGAGGGAUAGCCCAGAGAAAUUUGGAUUAAUACCUCAUAGUAUUACUGAAUCGCAUGAUUCGGUAAUUAAAGCUCCGGCGGUACAAGAUGAACAUGCGUGACAUUAGCUAGUUGGUAAGGUAACGGCUUACCAAGGCAACGAUGUCUAGGGGUUCUGAGAGGAUGAUCCCCCACACUGGUACUGAGACACGGACCAGACUCCUACGGGAGGCAGCAGUGAGGAAUAUUGGUCAAUGGACGCAAGUCUGAACCAGCCAUCCCGCGUGAAGGAUGACUGCCCUAUGGGUUGUAAACUUCUUUUAUAUGCAAAUAAACCUACUUUCGUGAAAGUAGCUGAAGGUAGCAUAUGAAUAAACACCGGCUAACUCCGUGCCAGCAGCCGCGGUAAUACGGAG
RNAcentral lists this ribosomal RNA (440 nucleotides) under uncultured bacterium. RNAcentral's name for it is "bacterial SSU rRNA". It matches the Rfam family "Bacterial small subunit ribosomal RNA", at positions 92 to 530 of the family's 1533-position model. The record is from RNAcentral.